AACGAACGCUGGCGGCAUGCUUAACACAUGAACAAGUCGAACGAUGGCUUCGGCCAUAGUGGCGGACGGGUGAGUAGCGCGUGGGAACCUGCCCCGAGGUACGGAAUAACCGCUGGAAACGGCGGCUAAUACCGUAUGAGCCCUGAGGGGGAAAGAUUUAUCGCCUUGGGAGGGGCCCGCGUCCCGAUUAGGUAGUUGGGUGAGGUAAAGGCUCACCAAGCCUGCGAUCGGUAGCUGGUCUGAGAGGAUGAUCAGCCACACUGGGACUGAGACACGGCCCAGACUCCUACGGGAGGCAGCAGUGGGGAAUAUUGGACAAUGGGCGAAAGCCUGAUCCAGCCAUGCCGCGUGAGUGAUGAAGGCCCUAGGGUUGUAAAGCUCUUUCAACGGUGAAGAUAAUGACGGUAACCGUAGAAGAAGCCCGGCUAACUUCGUGCCAGCAGCCGCGGUAAU
This 453-nucleotide ribosomal RNA is filed under the name uncultured bacterium. RNAcentral describes it as "bacterial SSU rRNA". It matches the Rfam family "Bacterial small subunit ribosomal RNA", at positions 29 to 524 of the family's 1533-position model. The record is from RNAcentral.